Molecule: long non-coding RNA, 1664 nt
Organism: Ostrea edulis (European flat oyster)
Lineage: Eukaryota; Metazoa; Mollusca; Bivalvia; Ostreida; Ostreidae
Exons: 3
Source: RefSeq, a predicted model, not a curated record
AAUCUUGUAGCAUGUCCUACACAUACCCAAGUCAUUUUGGAAUUCAUUCAAAAAACACUUUCAUCACAUGCAGCCAAAACAAUGGGCCGCCUCUACUGUCCUCGUUGGAACAUCUACGUACUGUACUUAAUCUGACAAUGUUUUGUUGAACUGAUAUGCCCCUGUGUUCCUGAUGUUGCCAGCUGUUGGUGUGAUUCAGUGCCAAGUUCUAUUGGAUUAAUUCUGGGAUUACCUUGUGAAGGUCACCUUGGCAGUCCCUGAACUCAAACAACCUCCCUCUAGAUUGACAGCAUCACAUUCCAAUGGGUCUGGAUGGAUUGUCAAAUAUACACACACAGGUGACUGGGCAACAAACAGCUCUCUCAAUCCAGUCCCUAUCUCUGAAUGGACCUUUAUUUCUAUUACAAUCCCAGAAAGGAUCUACACCACACCAGUGAGAAGAUAAUUUGUAAAUAAACACCGAUGCCAGCUGAGGAACACUGGCUGUAGACUGGAAAUCUGCACACUUCUGUAUUAUCAUAAACCCUGAUAAUCCCUCAAAACAGAUGUGUAUUGGAUGAUCUCAAUCCACCUGACUCAUCCACGGGCUUGUAUUGUGAAAACUCUCUCUCUCCAUCAUCUUAACCACAACUUAAUGGAAUGGGGAUUUUUCAUAGAUUCUCAACCCAUAUCAAAUGUCUAUAAUCAAACCACUUUUAUUUCCUAAAAUUACAAACAAUAUGGCCUUUAACCAAGUUUUGUACAAGUGAACUCUACCAGAAAAAUGUAAAAACAAUGAGUCAUAGAAUUGUGAUGAUGAUGUCAGAGAAUCUCUAACAAUAAUUAAUUUUUCAAUAAAGAAGAUGAAAUUUAACUAUAUAUAUAUAUAUAUAGUACAAUCUUCCAUUACUAUUCAUAUAUACAUUACAGUACAUCACAGUACUAAUCCAUAAUUAACCUGUGUGUGCAUGAUGCAGUUCACUUAAUAGACUUAUAUAAUCUCCAAAUCUAAAACUGUAAGAAGAACAAUUACUCAAACAAAAUACAGCAUAGACCAAACAAACCUGAUCCCAAACAAACAUGGAAAUUCUUGUGAUAUCUCAAGUAUGCAAAGUGCUAAUUAAAAAACUCAGAUAUACAUAGCAUCUUGAGGGCUUCACUGGGAGAAGUAUAUCGAGUAAACAAACAGAUUUAGAUUGAUGUCUUGGAGAGAAGGGGCGCAGCUGCUUUAAGCAGAUUCCCGGACGAAGUAUUUCUUCACAAUGUUGAGCGGGUAUAUCCAGUCACUAUGAAUUUAAUCCUAAAUAUUUACACAUUUCCGAGGUCUUUCUUCCUUUGACUUACAAAUUGUAAUGCUAGUCAAUUUCCCCAUGAACGAGCUGCAGUUGUGAACAUGAUGUACAUAUGAAUAUUAAUAAACAUAACAUGUGUCUUUUCACGACUGGGAAUUCCAAAAAGAUAUAAAUGUAGAAUAUAAGAAAUAAAUUUCAAUUUUGGAAAUACAAGAGACAAUAUAUGAACCACAAUGUUUCAUACCGACAGACGUACUUCAUAAUAUCCGAUUACCAGGCCCGGGGGCAUAUAAUUAAAAAUUCACUCUAUUCCUGUUCACAUAAUGCUGCAGCUUUAAAUCAAGAGUUAAUUAUAUAUAUAUAAUGUCCUUUAAUUGCAAAGGUAAAAAAUUA